GACGAACGCUGGCGGCGUGCCUAAUACAUGCAAGUCGAACGGACAAACAGUAGCUUUCUCCUCUAUGUUAGCGGCGGACGGGUGAGUAACACGUGGGCAACCUGCCUUUAAGACUGGGAUAACUUCAGGAAACCGGAGCUAAUACCGGAUAAUGCUUUUUGCCUCAUGUUCGAAAGCUGAAAGUUUGUUUCGGCUCUCAUUUACACGUGGCUCCGCGGCGCGUUAGCUAGUUGGUGGGGUACCGGCUCACCAAGGCGACGACGCGUAGCCGAAGUGAGAGGGGGAUAGGCCACACUGGGACUGAGACACGGACAAGACUCCUAAGGGAGGCAGCAGAAGGGAAUCGGAGGCAAUGGAGGAAAGUCUGACGGAGCAACGCCGAGUGAGUGACGAAGGCUUUCGGAUCGUAAAAACCUGUUGUGAGGGAAGAACAGGUACCGGAGUAAAUGCAGCGACAGUGACGGUAACGAACAAGAAAGCAACGGCUAACUACGUG
Molecule: ribosomal RNA, 496 nt
Filed under: uncultured bacterium
Lineage: Bacteria
Description: partial 16S ribosomal RNA
Rfam family: Bacterial small subunit ribosomal RNA
Source: RNAcentral